Cottoperca gobio is the source of this 538-nucleotide long non-coding RNA. RefSeq lists it as uncharacterized. The transcript is spliced from 3 exons. The record is from RefSeq and is a predicted model, not a curated record. Lineage: Eukaryota; Metazoa; Chordata; Actinopteri; Perciformes; Bovichtidae.
UUCCCCAGACGAGGAGUGGUGUGGGCCCAGGUACACGCCAGACACAAGCAGCAAGGUGUCGUCAGCGUUGAACUGAGAGAACUGGGUGUAGCCCCAGUUAAACUGCCGCAUGCUGGAGCUGUGCACCAUCGAAAUAUUACCGUCUGGCCGCUCCGUGUCCCAUAACUGCACACAAGAAGCCAGAGGACAGGUUUGAAAAGAAGCGAGUGGAUGAUAAAGAGGACAACAGCUGGUGGUCGUUAAACAUUUAGGGGAUCAAAGAAGAAGAAAUGCAUCAAGAAAGCUCAAAACUCCCCAACAUUCAUUAUUAUUGCAUCUAUAUGAGCUUCUGGCCCAAAGUUCACCUGUUGGAGCUUGCUUUGGCCCGACGUUUAUACUUUAGAGCCGGACUACAAGUUAACCAGGGACAUGAAAAAGUCUUUGGAGCAGGAGGAGAAGCGGUGACCCCGGUGAGAGAAAGCCAGGUGGAGGACUUGGUCAGUGUGCUCUACCAGCGUCUGAACCUCCACACAGGGGAUGCAGUCAAACAGACGCCUGA